CCAAUAGCGUAUAUUAAAGUUGUUGCAGUUAAAAAGCUCGUAGUUGAAUUUCGGGAUUGACACAUCGGUCGUGCCUUAAGGGGUGUGAACUGGUGUAGUCAAUUUCUCACCUUCUGGAGAACCGCGAUGUCCUUAAUUGGGUGCCGCGAGGAACCAGGACCUUUACUUUGAAAAAAUUAGAGUGUUUAAAGCAGGCAUUUUUGCUUGAAUACAUUAGCAUGGAAUAAUAAAAUAGGACGGCAUGAUUCUAUUUUGUUGGUUUCUAGGAUCACCGUAAUGAUUAAUAGGGAUAGUUGGGGGCAUUAGUAUUCAAUUGUCAGAGGUGAAAUUCUUGGAUUUAUUGAAGACUAACUACUGCGAAAGCAUUUGCCAAGGAUGUUUUCAUUAAUCAAGAACGAAAGUUAGGGGAUCGAAGACGAUCAGAUACCGUCGUAGUCUUAACCAUAAACUAUGCCGACUAGGAAUCAGACGAUGUUAAUUUUUUAAUGACUCGUUUGGCACCUUACA
This 507-nucleotide unclassified non-coding RNA is filed under the name uncultured Entrophospora. RNAcentral describes it as "SSU rRNA". It matches the Rfam family "Eukaryotic small subunit ribosomal RNA", at positions 591 to 1092 of the family's 1831-position model. Lineage: Eukaryota; Fungi; Glomeromycota; Glomeromycetes; Entrophosporales; Entrophosporaceae. The record is from RNAcentral.